This 73-nucleotide transfer RNA is filed under the name Pteropus alecto (black flying fox). It matches the Rfam family "tRNA". Rfam says of the family: Transfer RNA (tRNA) molecules are approximately 80 nucleotides in length. Their secondary structure includes four short double-helical elements and three loops (D, anti-codon, and T loops). Further hydrogen bonds mediate the characteristic L-shaped molecular structure. tRNAs have two regions of fundamental functional importance: the anti-codon, which is responsible for specific mRNA codon recognition, and the 3' end, to which the tRNAs corresponding amino acid is attached (by aminoacyl-tRNA synthetases). tRNAs cope with the degeneracy of the genetic code in two manners: having more than one tRNA (with a specific anti-codon) for a particular amino acid; and 'wobble' base-pairing, i.e. permitting non-standard base-pairing at the 3rd anti-codon position. Lineage: Eukaryota; Metazoa; Chordata; Mammalia; Chiroptera; Pteropodidae. The record is from Rfam by way of RNAcentral.
GGUUCCAUAGUGUAGCACUUAGCACAUCUACUUUACACUCAGAAGGUUCUGGGUUCAUGACCCAGUGGAGCCA